RNAcentral lists this signal recognition particle RNA (99 nucleotides) under Fodinisporobacter ferrooxydans. RNAcentral describes it as "Alicyclobacillaceae bacterium MYW30-H2 signal recognition particle sRNA small type". It matches the Rfam family "Bacterial small signal recognition particle RNA". From Rfam's summary of the family: The signal recognition particle (SRP) is a universally conserved ribonucleoprotein involved in the co-translational targeting of proteins to membranes. Archaeal SRP consists of a 7S RNA and homologues of the eukaryotic SRP19 and SRP54 proteins. Lineage: Bacteria; Bacillati; Bacillota; Bacilli; Caryophanales; Alicyclobacillaceae. The record is from RNAcentral.
GAUCAGGUACCGUGCGUCGGAAACUCCGAACCGUGUCAGAUCCUGACGGAAGCAGCACUAAGGGGAUCUCUCCGAGCGUUGCGGCAAUACCUGGUCUAA